UACAGGGGGUGCAAACGUUGCUCGGAAUCAUUGGGCGUAAAGCGCACGUAGGCGGUUCGUUAUGUCGGAUGUGAAAGCCCUUGGCUUAACCGAGGAAGUGCAUCCGAAACUGGCGAGCUAGAGUACUAAAGAGGAUCGCGGAAUUCCCGGUGUGGAGGUGAAAUUCGUAGAUAUCGGGAGGAACACCGGUGGCGAAGGCGGCGAUCUGGCGGUGCACUGACGCUGAGGCGCGAAAGCGUGGGGAGCAAACAGG
RNAcentral lists this ribosomal RNA (253 nucleotides) under uncultured bacterium. RNAcentral describes it as "partial 16S ribosomal RNA". It matches the Rfam family "Bacterial small subunit ribosomal RNA", at positions 524 to 776 of the family's 1533-position model. The record is from RNAcentral.